Molecule: ribosomal RNA, 299 nt
Filed under: Vibrio cholerae
Lineage: Bacteria; Pseudomonadati; Pseudomonadota; Gammaproteobacteria; Vibrionales; Vibrionaceae
Description: partial 16S ribosomal RNA
Rfam family: Bacterial small subunit ribosomal RNA
Source: RNAcentral
AAUUGAAGAGUUUGAUCAUGGCUCAGAUUGAACGCUGGCGGCAGGCCUAACACAUGCAAGUCGAGCGGCAGCACAGAGGAACUUGUUCCUUGGGUGGCGAGCGGCGGACGGGUGAGUAAUGCCUGGGAAAUUGCCCGGUAGAGGGGGAUAACCAUUGGAAACGAUGGCUAAUACCGCAUAACCUCGCAAGAGCAAAGCAGGGGACCUUCGGGCCUUGCGCUACCGGAUAUGCCCAGGUGGGAUUAGCUAGUUGGUGAGGUAAGGGCUCACCAAGGCGACGAUCCCUAGCUGGUCUGAGA